RNAcentral lists this ribosomal RNA (403 nucleotides) under uncultured bacterium. RNAcentral describes it as "partial 16S ribosomal RNA". It matches the Rfam family "Bacterial small subunit ribosomal RNA", at positions 30 to 526 of the family's 1533-position model. The record is from RNAcentral.
AUUGAACGCUGGCGGCAGGCCUAACACAUGCAAGUCGAGCGAGCGGCGGACGGGUGAGUAAUGUAUGGGGACUGCCCGAUAUAGGGGGAUAACUACUGGAAACGGUAGCUAAUACCGCAUACUAUCGGAUAACCCAUAUGGGAUUAGCUAGUAGGUGAGGUAAUGGCUCACCUAGGCGACGAUCCCUAGCUGGUCUGAGAGGCUGAUCAGCCACAAGGGGACUGAGACACGGCCCAGACUCCUACGGAGGCAGCAGUGGGGAAUAUUGAACAAUGGGCUGAAGCCUGAUGCAGCCAGGCGGCGUGUAUGAAGAAGGCCCUAGGGUUGUAAAGUACUUUCAGUCGGGAGGCGUUACCGAAAGAAGAAGCACCGGCUAACUCCGUGCCAGCCGCCGCGGUAAUAC